GGGGAUGUAGCUCAGUUGGCUAGAGCGCUACGCUGGCAGCGUAGAGGUCGUGGGUUCGAGCCCCAUCUUCUCCA
Molecule: transfer RNA, 74 nt
Filed under: Flavobacterium sp.
Lineage: Bacteria; Pseudomonadati; Bacteroidota; Flavobacteriia; Flavobacteriales; Flavobacteriaceae
Also listed under: 4 other names
Description: tRNA-Ala
Rfam family: tRNA
About the family: Transfer RNA (tRNA) molecules are approximately 80 nucleotides in length. Their secondary structure includes four short double-helical elements and three loops (D, anti-codon, and T loops).
Source: RNAcentral